CUAGCAUAUCAAUAUCGGGAGGAAAAGAAACCAACAGGGAUUACCUCAGUAACGGCGAGUGAAGCGGUAACAGCUCAAAUUUGAAAUCUGGCCUCACGGUCCGAGUUGUAAUUUGUAGAGGAUGCUUCGAGCAUGGUCUGGCCUAAGUUCCUUGGAACAGGACGUCAUAGAGGGUGAGAAUCCCGUAUGCGGCCAGGUGCCUACGCUCAUGUGAAGCUCCUUCGACGAGUCGAGUUGUUUGGGAAUGCAGCUCAAAAUGGGUGGUAAAUUUCAUCUAAAGCUAAAUAUUGGCCAGAGACCGAUAGCGCACAAGUAGAGUGAUCGAAAGAUGAAAAGCACUUUGGAAAGAGAGUUAAACAGUACGUGAAAUUGUUGAAAGGGAAGCGCUUGCAACCAGACUUGCGCGCGGCCGAUCAUCCGGUGUUCUCACCGGUGCACUCGGCCGUGCUCAGGCCAGCAUCGGUUUUGGCGGCUGGAUAAAGGCCCUAGGAAUGUAGCUCCUCUCGGGGAGUGUUAUAGCCUAGGGUGCAAUGCAGCCUGCUGGGACCGAGGACCGCGCUUCGGCUAGGAUGCUGGCGUAAUGGUUGUAAGCGGCCCGUCUUGAAACACGGACCAAGGAGUCUAACAUCUAUGCGAGUGUUUGGGUGUCAAACCCAUACGCGUAAUGAAAGUGAACGGAGGUGAGAACCCUUAAGGGUGCAUCAUCGACCGGUCCUGAAGUUUACGGAAGGAUCUGAGUAAGAGCAUAGCUGUUGGGACCCGAAAGAUGGUGAACUAUGCCUGAAUAGGGUGAAGCCAGAGGAAACUCUGGUGGAGGCUCGCAGCGGUUCUGACGUGCAAAUCGAUCGUCAAAUUUGGGUAUAGGGGGCGAAGACUAAUCGAACCAUCUGCC
RNAcentral lists this ribosomal RNA (892 nucleotides) under Pseudogymnoascus sp. RNAcentral describes it as "partial large subunit ribosomal RNA". It matches the Rfam family "Eukaryotic large subunit ribosomal RNA", at positions 34 to 948 of the family's 3401-position model. Lineage: Eukaryota; Fungi; Ascomycota; Leotiomycetes; Thelebolales; Thelebolaceae. The record is from RNAcentral.